GGCCGCAGAAUUUUAACUGUGCAAAGGUAGCAUAAUCACUAGUUUUUUAAUUGAAAGCUUGAAUGAAUGGUUGGACGAGGUAUAAGCUGUUUCACAUUAAAUAUUAGAAUUUUAUUUUUGGGUAAAAAAGCCUAAAUUUUUUUAAAAGACGAGAAGACCCUAUAGAUCUUUAUAAUUAUUUUGUUUUUUUCAUUAAGAUUCUUUUGGUAAAUACAAUUUUAAUUAUUUUGUUGGGGUGACAGAGAAAUUUAUUUAACUUUCUUUAUUUUAUGAACAUUAGUGUAUGGUUUUGGUGAUCCUUUUUUAAGAUUAUAAAAUUAAGUUACCUUAGGGAUAACAGCGUAAUUUUCCUGGAGAGUUCAUAUCGAUAGGAAAGAUUGCGACCUCGAUGUUGGAUUAA
RNAcentral lists this ribosomal RNA (400 nucleotides) under Eremisca vernalis. RNAcentral's name for it is "partial large subunit ribosomal RNA". It matches the Rfam family "Bacterial large subunit ribosomal RNA", at positions 1929 to 2540 of the family's 2925-position model. The record is from RNAcentral. Lineage: Eukaryota; Metazoa; Arthropoda; Insecta; Diptera; Asilidae.